This 521-nucleotide ribosomal RNA is filed under the name uncultured bacterium. RNAcentral describes it as "partial 16S ribosomal RNA". It matches the Rfam family "Bacterial small subunit ribosomal RNA", at positions 899 to 1397 of the family's 1533-position model. The record is from RNAcentral.
ACUCAAAUGAAUUGACGGGGACUCGCACAAGCGGUGGAGCAUGAGGUUCAAUUCGACAAUAAACGAAAAACCUUACCAAGGCUUGAAAUGCACUUGAAUACAGGUGGAAACAUCUGUAGCCCCUUAAAAGGCAAGUGCACAGGUGCUGCAUGGUUGUCGUCAGCUCGUGCUUUGAAGUGUUCCCUUAAGUGGGGUAACGAGCGCAACCCGCACUGUGUGUUAUAUGUGUCACACGGAACCGCCCAGCCUUUUGUUCGCAAACAACAGUUUGUUAAUAAGAGGCUGGGAGGAAGGAGCGGAUGACGUCAAAUCAGCAUGGCCCUCUGAUGCCUUGGGCCACACUCGUGCUACAAUGGUCGGGACAAUGGGUUGCCAACGCGCAAGCGGGAGCUAAUCCCAUCAAACCCGGCCCCAGUUCAGAUUGGAGGCUGCAACUCGCCUCCAUGAAGCCGGAAUCGCUAGUAAUCGCGGAUCAGCAUGCCGCGGUGAAUACGUUCUCGAGUCCUGUACACACCGCCCGU